RNAcentral lists this long non-coding RNA (4235 nucleotides) under Brassica napus (rape). RNAcentral's name for it is "long non-coding RNA (BNAP_LNC012691)". The record is from RNAcentral. Lineage: Eukaryota; Viridiplantae; Streptophyta; Magnoliopsida; Brassicales; Brassicaceae.
AAGCUCCUCAACCUCUACCUAUGGUGACAGUCAAGAGGAUCAUCAUCUGGUUGUAAAUAUCAAACAAGAAAAUGUCUAUAAUAAUAAGCCUUGUAAAUCUGAGCUUUCCCAUCAAGGAAACCUUUCCUCAAAGUCUAAAAUAGUGUAGACGAUAGGGUAUAAUGUAAGAUAUUGAGACUCUUUGGCCUAACGGAAUAUUAUAUCAAUGAGAACCAUGUGAUCACUCGUGAUUGCUUUACUUUAACUUGGCGAGAGCCGAGAGGAGAGAUAAAUAAAGGAGCGAAAGCUGUUCAACCAAGCAAACUCGCAAAUGAGUAAAUACCAGAUCUAUUCCUCUUCGGUUUCUCUUAUACAUAUAUACACUACAUCUUCUUCCUUGCGAUAUGUAGUAGAUAAUAAACUAAAAAAAGAGUGAAAUUCUUGGUAAUGCAAGUUUGUAGCCAAUUAGAAUGCCCUUUUUUCAAAAAAAAAAAAUGUUUGUAGCCAAUUAAUUCUCCAAAAAAAAUUAUGUAACCAACUCAUGGUGACUGAAUCGUUGAGAGAAUCACUACUAGCUAGCUAGUUAAUUAAUCCACAUAGCUAGAUGGAAGAUUGGUAUAAUAUUCUCCAUGCCAAAAAUCAAAAAUAACUGGACGCUUAUUAGUUUACUAUAACAUGUAAAUGUUUCUGCAUGGUUAACAAAAUUAUAAUUCAUGCACUUUUUACGUAGAAUAGAAGAUUUCUCUGCUUUUAAGUUUUAACCCAAAAUGGUUUGGAACCCAACCGUAAUUUUCCCAGUUAUUAAUUACCACUCUUUUGGAUAUUUCCGCCACAUACGUUGUCUAUAUCCAAAAACAUUGGGAUCUAUUUUAAUUAGAUAUACCAAAACAUGUAGAAGGGACAUGUUACCAACAGAGAAGUUUUCCUGUAAAAAUUAUAUAUAUGUGUAAAGUUCUGAAAUAAAGUACAAUGCACAUGAAACACUAAAUACAUGUAUUUCUUUCAUACACAACGACAUGGAUAUAAAUCCAACAUUAUCUGCGUAUUUAAAAAAACUAGACAAUGUAUGAGGGGGGCUUGAGUGUGACAAUCAACCAUGUGAAAUCUUGCUGUUUUAUAUAUUAUCUUAGUCUUUUUGCUUUAUUUAAUUGUUAUUUUACUAUAUCUGGCGAUAAGCUUAUGCCAACUGACUUUCAAAUUAAAUUGAAUAUCCUGGAUUUGUAGGUUGUUGGAUCUAAUGUACGUUAUAAAUAAUAAAACAACAAGACACAAAUUAAUAUUUUAUUUUGUAUAUCCAGUGAUUUAACAACUAGAAAUACGCUUUUUCCAUCCAGUUAGGAAUAGAUGCUUAACAGAAAAAAAAAACAAUAAAAUGUCUAUUAAAAACUAAUGGAUGAUUAUUAUGUUUUACAAGAUGUUUAAACUUUGGAAAGAUUCUACUCUUGUGUUGUCUCCUUCCGGACACACUAGUAGUAUUAUUUAAAAGAGGAUCUCAAACUACAUAUGGAAUACGGUGACUAAUCAAUUGUGGCUAUAUUAUUAGCCUGGGAAUAUAAAUUACUAGGAUAAGAUCUGCGCCUUGCGCAGAGUGAGUUUAUUUGUAUAUAUUAUCGAUAGUUUCUUUUAUAUAUUUGAUCAUUUUAUUUAUAUAUAUAUAAUUUUUUUGUUGUUAUUAUAUAAUUUCUUUCCGAUGGAUCAUUUCAAUUUUUAUUAAAAAUAAUGAAACAAAACUAUAAUUAAUACAUCAUGGGUUGAUCGAAUUGGACAUUAAACAAAUUAUGACAUAAAAACCUUAUUUUUUCCAUCAAACACAUUCUUGAAAAAAGUGAACAGUAUUGUUUUCACAGUUGAAUUAUUUUAACUUUUAUCUUCCGAAUAGACUCUUUGUGUUUAAAUGGAUAAUCUUAUUGGAAUUAAUAGAUAAACGUCUAGCUCGAGUUUAUGAAAAGUCUUGGCCCCCGAAAAAAAAAAUAUAUAUAUAUAUAUAUAAAAAAAAAAGAAAAGGAGGCUAGCAAAGUUGUUUAGAGCUAAGAUUUGUUUAGAAGUUGAGAAAAUCCUUUAUAGAUUUGAAAGAAAAAGAGUUUUAUGUGCAGAAUAUCCUGGAUUUGUAGGUUGUUGGAUCUAAUGUACGUUAUAAACAAUAAAACAACAAGACACAAAUUAAUAUUUUAUUUUGUAUAUCCAGUGAUUUAACAACUAGAAAUACGCUUUUUCCAUCCAGUCAGGAAUAGAUGCUUAACAGAAAAAAAAAACAAUAAAAUGUCUAUUAAAAAGUAAUGGAUGAUUAUUAUGUUUUACAAGAUGUUUAAACUUUGGAAAGAUUCUACUCUUGUGUUGUCUCCUUCCGGACACACACUAGUAGCAUUAGUUAAAAGAGGAUCUCAGAAUACAUAUGGAAUACGGUGAUUAAUCAAUUGUGGCUAUAUUAUUAGCCUGGAAAUAUAAAGUAUUUUUUGUUUGUAAUAACGUAAAAUGAGAAAAUUCAAGAUCCUUGCACGAAGAAAAAAAUUAACUUGUUUUCGGCCUCCGGUCAAUAUUAAACGAUUUCGCAUUUUAAACCAUUUAUUAUUAAUACUCUAAAUAAACUUACAAUAUUGACAUUUGACCCCAAUAUAAAGUCAUAAACAGAGCUUUGAAAAAUAUUUAUGGGGAAGAAAUCAAAUCUAAUAAACUUACUCCUACCUUACACGACCUUACAAAUAUUUGACUUCAAUAUCAAGAACCACAAAAAAAAAAAUUCCGAAUUGAAAAUUCCAGAUAAUCAGCAAGAAAAUGACGUGGACCAAUGAGAUUUAAACGUGCACGGAUCAGUAUCAUAAUAAAUAAUAUUCCCUCAAACGGAAUAUUUUUUUUAUCCGAUCCCGAAAUUAACUCGCUUUCGGACAAUAGCAUUGGAAAAUAGGUUUCGUGUAAUGAGAGGAUGCUCCACGUGUCGUUAAUAAAGAUGGAGAAGUUAGAAAAGCGACCGGCUUCAGCCGGUAAAACCAAUAUCCGCGAACCACCAUACCCGGUUGUGUGGUUAAUAUUUUUUAUUUUUUUUCCGGAAAAAGAAUAAUAAAAUGGGGGUUUAAGCCAUUGUUUUCGGUUGUGGUAUCUUUUGAGAGGGUUUUAUGUCUUCUUUCUUCUUCGUUACUUCUAUUCUAAAAGAGAGAGAGAGAGAGAACGAGAGGAGUAAAACGAAACAAAACAAAAACAGAGGAUGAUCGCGAAAUCAUCAUCCUAAGAUCUUCGAGAAAUUCUGUGUAAAUUUGUGUUUGUUAAUUUCUCCAUUGUAGAGGUAGCUAUCCUUCUGAAUCAGAUCCGUGAAAGGGUUAGUGACUUCUCAUGAUCACAAUUAAUGAUCACGAUUCUUUUUUUUCCUUUUUUUUUUGAUUAGUAUCAACGUGUUUUUACGUGAAUUGUGAUGGUAAAUUAUUUGAAUCUGACGUAAAAAAAUUCGAAUUUUUGAAUAAAAUGUUUUCGUGUCUGGUCUGAAAGUUGGCAUUUUUCAGCGAGAUCUGAUCAGUUUUUUUUUUCUUUUGUUUGUUUGUUUCUACGUAAAUUGUUUUUAAAAAGUUCAUAUAUUUGAGUUUUAUGUUUCGUUGUUAAUUCUGAUCUGUAUACUCUGUCGUUUCAUCAGACCUUCAACAUUCAUUAAACUCUACCUGAAUCUGUAGAGUUAUUAGUUUCACAAUUGCUUAAAAAUUAUACUCUUUAUUUUGGUGGAGAUUUAGAAGAUUUAUGCUGAAUCUUUGCAGAUUGUCUGAGAGAUGGUGGUCAAGAGGAGGUUAAACUGUGGCUUUGAUUUCUCGAGUGUUCCCAAGGCUCCUCGUUCAACCAGGGUAAUGAAUAUUCGUGUGCUUCAUUUCGAUUAGUUUAAUGUUUUUCUUUUUUUAUUAAUUUGUGUCUGAUGACUUGUGGUUGAUAUUUUUAUAGAUGAAGGUCUCAAGUAAGAGAGAUGACGUUGACAGUCAGCUCACUGCCUUUGAUUUGCUCGCUUCUCUUGCUGGAAAGCUACUGGAAGAAAGCGAAAGCUCCUCAACCUCUACCUAUGGUGACAGUCAAGAGGAUCAUCAUCUGGUUGUAAAUAUCAAACAAGAAAAUGUCUAUAAUAAUAAGCCUUGUAAAUCUGAGCUUUCCCAUCAAGGAAACCUUUCCUCAAAGUCGCCUAGUGAGAACACUAGCGAGACGUGUUUGCAAGUUUCCUCUUUGGAAAAUGAUUGCGUUUUGGAUAAGGCACCUGUUUCUGAUUGUGGUAAGAUAGCUCUUGGUCUGAA